ACCGAAUAGAUACUCUGGUAGUCCACGCCCUAAACGAUGCGAACUGGAUGUUGGGUACAUUACGGUACUCAGUGUCGAAAGCUAACGCGUUAAGUUCGCCGCCUGGGGAGUACGGUCGCAAGACUGAAACUCAAAGGAAUUGACGGGGGCCCGCACAAGCGGUGGAGUAUGUGGUUUAAAUUCGAUGCAACGCGAAGAACCUUACCUGGCCUUGACAUCUGUCGAAUCCUGCAGAGAUGCGGGAGUGCCGCAAGGAACGACAAGACAGGUGCUGCAUGGCUGUCGUCAGCUCGUGUCGUGAGAUGUUGGGUUAAGUCCCGCAACGAGCGCAACCCUUGUCCCUAGUUGCCAGCACGUAAUGGUGGGAACUCUAGGGAGACUGCCGGUGACGAACCGGAGGAAGGUGGGGAUGACGUCAAGUCCUCAUGGCCCUUACGGCCAGGGCUACACACGUACUACAAUGGUCGGUACAGAGGGUUGCGAAGCCGCGAGGCGAAGCCAAUCCCAGAAAACCGAUCCCAGUCCGGAUUGGAGUCUGC
RNAcentral lists this ribosomal RNA (539 nucleotides) under uncultured bacterium. Its description in RNAcentral is "bacterial SSU rRNA". It matches the Rfam family "Bacterial small subunit ribosomal RNA", at positions 772 to 1308 of the family's 1533-position model. The record is from RNAcentral.